RNAcentral lists this ribosomal RNA (253 nucleotides) under uncultured bacterium. Its description in RNAcentral is "partial 16S ribosomal RNA". It matches the Rfam family "Bacterial small subunit ribosomal RNA", at positions 524 to 776 of the family's 1533-position model. The record is from RNAcentral.
UACAGAGGUCUCAACCGUUGUUCGGAUUCAUUGGGCGUAAAGGGUGCGUAGGCGGUCGCGCAAGUCGGAUGUGAAAUCUCAGGGCUCAACCCUGAAACUGCAUUCGAUACUGCGUGGCUAGAGUGCUGGAGAGGAGACUGGAAUUUACGGUGUAGCAGUGAAAUGCGCAGAUAUCAGGAGGAACACCAAUGGCGAAGGCAGCUCGCUGGGACGUGACUGACGCUGAGACGCGAAAGCGUGGGGAGCAAACAGG